Molecule: ribosomal RNA, 489 nt
Filed under: uncultured bacterium
Lineage: Bacteria
Description: partial 16S ribosomal RNA
Rfam family: Bacterial small subunit ribosomal RNA
Source: RNAcentral
GAUGAACGCUAGCUACAGGCUUAACACAUGCAAGUCGAGGGGCAGCAUGGUCUUAGCUUGCUAAGGCCGAUGGCGACCGGCGCACGGGUGAGUAACACGUAUCCAACCUGCCGUCUACUCUUGGACAGCCUUCUGAAAGGAAGAUUAAUACAAGAUUGCAUCAUGAGUCCGCAUGUUCACAUGAUUAAAGGUAUUCCUGUAUACGAUGGGGAUGCGUUCCAUUAGAUAGUAGGAGGGGUAACGGCCCACCUAGUCUUCGAUGGAUAGGGGUUCUGAGAGGAAGGACCCCCAAAUUGGAACAGAGACACGGGAAAAACUCCUACGGGAGGCAGGAGUGAGGAAUAAUGGUGAAAGGGCGAGAGACUGAACCAGCCAAGUAGAGUGAAGGAUGACUGCACUAUGGGUUGUAAACUUCUUUUAUAAAGGAAUAAAGUCGGGUAUGGAUACCCGUUUGCAUGUACUUUAUGAAUAAGGAUCGGCUAACUCCGU